RNAcentral lists this ribosomal RNA (780 nucleotides) under Weissella paramesenteroides. RNAcentral describes it as "bacterial SSU rRNA". It matches the Rfam family "Bacterial small subunit ribosomal RNA", at positions 48 to 785 of the family's 1533-position model. The record is from RNAcentral. Lineage: Bacteria; Bacillati; Bacillota; Bacilli; Lactobacillales; Lactobacillaceae.
CUAAUACAUGCAAGUCGAACGCUUUGUCUUUAAUUGAUCUGACGAGCUUGCUCUGAUGUGAUUUUAUCUGACAAAGAGUGGCGAACGGGUGAGUAACACGUGGGUAACCUACCUCUUAGCAGGGGAUAACAUUUGGAAACAAGUGCUAAUACCGUAUAAUACCAACAACCGCAUGGUUGUUGGUUGAAAGAUGGUUCUGCUAUCACUAAGAGAUGGACCCGCGGUGCAUUAGCUAGUUGGUAAGGUAACGGCUUACCAAGGCAAUGAUGCAUAGCCGAGUUGAGAGACUGAUCGGCCACAAUGGGACUGAGACACGGCCCAUACUCCUACGGGAGGCAGCAGUAGGGAAUCUUCCACAAUGGGCGCAAGCCUGAUGGAGCAACGCCGCGUGUGUGAUGAAGGGUUUCGGCUCGUAAAACACUGUUAUAAGAGAAGAACGGCACUGAGAGUAACUGUUCAGUGUGUGACGGUAUCUUACCAGAAAGGAACGGCUAAAUACGUGCCAGCAGCCGCGGUAAUACGUAUGUUCCAAGCGUUAUCCGGAUUUAUUGGGCGUAAAGCGAGCGCAGACGGUUAUUUAAGUCUGAAGUGAAAGCCCUCAGCUCAACUGAGGAAUGGCUUUGGAAACUGGAUGACUUGAGUGCAGUAGAGGAAAGUGGAACUCCAUGUGUAGCGGUGAAAUGCGUAGAUAUAUGGAAGAACACCAGUGGCGAAGGCGGCUUUCUGGACUGUAACUGACGUUGAGGCUCGAAAGUGUGGGUAGCAAACAGGAUUAGAUAC